GACGAACCACACGAACGUUAUUCGGAAUUACUGGGCUUAAAGGGUGCGUAGGCGGCGCGGUAAGUAGGGUGUGAAAUCCCUCGGCUCAACCGAGGAACUGCGCUCUAAACUACCGUGCUCGAGGGAGGUAGAGGUGAGCGGAACUUAGGGUGGAGCGGUGAAAUGCGUUGAUAUCCUAAGGAACACCGGUGGCGAAAGCGGCUCACUGGAUCUCUUCUGACGCUGAGGCACGAAAGCUAGGGUAGCGAACGGG
Molecule: ribosomal RNA, 253 nt
Filed under: uncultured bacterium
Lineage: Bacteria
Description: partial 16S ribosomal RNA
Rfam family: Bacterial small subunit ribosomal RNA
Source: RNAcentral